GGGGUACCUGUAGCGAGACUGGAGAGGCGACCUUCGGCACGCUGUGGAGUUGGGCAUCUCGGGUCGGGGGCGAGUUUCGGUCCGCGCCGCCGCCGCCGCCGCCGUGGAGACUGAGCUGCCAGCUAGCAAGAGGGGCUGGCUCCUCGUCGCUCGUCGCCGCGCCGCGUCGCGGAUGCAGCUUGUCGCCAAAUGCCUCCCCCAUUAUUCUAAGCGCUGACGUCCAGCUCCCUGACAAAUGCAGGACCUCGGAGCCCUAGGAAUUAACUUUUCCC
This 272-nucleotide long non-coding RNA is filed under the name Fukomys damarensis (Damara mole-rat). RNAcentral describes it as "lncRNA (ENSFDAG00000025061.1)". The record is from RNAcentral. Lineage: Eukaryota; Metazoa; Chordata; Mammalia; Rodentia; Bathyergidae.